AUACGUAGGGGGCAAGCGUUAUCCGGAUUUACUGGGUGUAAAGGGAGCGUAGACGGCACUGCAAGUCUGGAGUGAAAUCCCGGGGCUCAACCUCGGAACUGCCUUUGAUACUGGGUGUCUAGAGUGUGGAAGAGGUAAGUGGAAUUCCGAGUGUAGAGGUGAAAUUCGUAGAUAUUAGGAGGAACACCAGUGGCGAAGGCGGCUUACUGGACUGUAACUGACGUUGAGGCUCGAAAGCGUGGGGAGC
This 247-nucleotide ribosomal RNA is filed under the name uncultured bacterium. RNAcentral describes it as "partial 16S ribosomal RNA". It matches the Rfam family "Bacterial small subunit ribosomal RNA", at positions 523 to 769 of the family's 1533-position model. The record is from RNAcentral.